GGCCAGAUAGCUCAGUUGGUAGAGCAAAGGACUGAAAAUCCUUGUGUCGCCGGUUCGAUUCCGGCUCUGGCCA
RNAcentral lists this transfer RNA (73 nucleotides) under Chlamydiales bacterium. Its description in RNAcentral is "tRNA-Phe". It matches the Rfam family "tRNA". Rfam says of the family: Transfer RNA (tRNA) molecules are approximately 80 nucleotides in length. Their secondary structure includes four short double-helical elements and three loops (D, anti-codon, and T loops). The record is from RNAcentral. Lineage: Bacteria; Pseudomonadati; Chlamydiota; Chlamydiia; Chlamydiales. RNAcentral also lists the same sequence under 1 other name.